Molecule: ribosomal RNA, 423 nt
Filed under: uncultured Glomeraceae
Lineage: Eukaryota; Fungi; Glomeromycota; Glomeromycetes; Glomerales; Glomeraceae
Description: SSU rRNA
Rfam family: Eukaryotic small subunit ribosomal RNA
Source: RNAcentral
GGGAGGUAGUGACAAUAAAUAACAAUACGGGGUUCUUUCGGAUUUCGUAAUUGGAAUGAGUACAAUUUAAAUCUCUUAACGAGGAACAAUUGGAGGGCAAGUCUGGUGCCAGCAGCCGCGGUAAUUCCAGCUCCAAUAGCGUAUAUUAAAGUUGUUGCAGUUAAAAAGCUCGUAGUUGAAUUUCGGGACUAACAGAUUGGUCGCGCCUUUGGUGUGUACUGGUCUAGUUGGUUUCUCCCUUCUGACGAACCACGAUGUCAUUAAUUUGGUGUCGUGGGAAAUCAGGACUGUUACUUUGAAAAAAUUAGAGUGUUUAAAGCAAGCGCUAGCUUGAAUACAUUAGCAUGGAAUAAUGAAAUAGGACGUUUGACCCUAUUUUGUUGGUUUCUAGGAUCGACGUAAUGAUUAAUAGGGAUAGUUGGG